CCUACGGGCGGCAGCAGUGAGGAAUAUUGGUCAAUGGACGAGAGUCUGAACCAGCCAAGUAGCGUGAAGGAUGACUGCCCUAUGGGUUGUAAACUUCUUUUAUAUGGGAAUAAAACGUUCCACGUGUGGGAUUUUGUAUGUACCAUAUGAAUAAGGAUCGGCUAACUCCGUGCCAGCAGCCGCGGUAAUACGGAGGAUCCGAGCGUUAUCCGGAUUUAUUGGGUUUAAAGGGAUCGUAGGUGGAUUGUUAAGUCAGUUGUGAAAGUUUGCGGCUCAACCGUAAAAUUGCAGUUGAAACUGGCAGUCUUGAGUACAGUAGAGGUGGGCGGAAUUCGUGGUGUAGCGGUGAAAUGCUUAGAUAUCACGAAGAACUCCGAUUGCGAAGGCAGUUCACUGGACUGCAACUGACACUGAGGCUCGAAAGUGUGGGUAUCAAACAGGAUUAGAUACCCGUGUAGUC
RNAcentral lists this ribosomal RNA (460 nucleotides) under uncultured bacterium. RNAcentral's name for it is "partial 16S ribosomal RNA". It matches the Rfam family "Bacterial small subunit ribosomal RNA", at positions 338 to 795 of the family's 1533-position model. The record is from RNAcentral.